AAGUUUGAUCAUGGCUCAGAACGAACGCUGGCGGCGUGCUUAACACAUGCAAGUCCAACGUGAAAGGGGAGCAAUCCCCCGGUAGGGUGGCGAACGGGUGAGUAAUACAUGGGAAUCUGCCCUGGAGAUGGGGAUAUCCUUCCGAAAGGAGGGUUAAUACCGAAUACCGUCCGGGUGACGAGAGUCGUUUGGGGAAAGGGAGGCCUCUGGCAACAUGCUUCCGCUCCGGGAGGAGCCCAUGGCCCAUCAGCUAGUUGGUAGGGUAACGGCCUACCAAGGCAAAGACGGGUAGCUGGUCUGAGAGGACGAUCAGCCACACUGGCACUGAGACACGGGCCAGACUCCUACGGGAGGCAGCAGUGAGGAAUUUUGCGCAAUGGGGGCAACCCUGACGCAGCAACGCCGCGUGUGGGAAGAAGGCUUUCGGGUUGUAAACCACUUUUGUAAGGGACGAAGUCCUUUCGGAUAAUACCCGAGGGGGAUGACGGUACCUUGCGAAUAAGCCACGGCUAACUCUGUGCCAGCAGCCGCGGUAAGACAGGGGUGGCAAGCGUUGUUCGGAAUAACUGGGCGUAAAGGGUCUGUAGGUGGUUUUUCAAGUCUUUGGUAAAACGCCGUGGCUCAACCAUGGUUUGGCCAAGGAGACUGGGAGACUCGGGGCUGGUAGAGGGAAGCGGAAUUUCUGGUGUAGCGGUGAAAUGCGUAGAGAUCAGAAAGAAGGCCGGUGGCGAAGGCGGCUUCCUGGAACAGACCUGACACUGAGAGACGAAAGCGUGGGGAGCAAACAGGAUUAGAUACCCUGGUAGUCCACGCCCUA
RNAcentral lists this ribosomal RNA (817 nucleotides) under uncultured bacterium. RNAcentral's name for it is "bacterial SSU rRNA". It matches the Rfam family "Bacterial small subunit ribosomal RNA", at positions 9 to 804 of the family's 1533-position model. The record is from RNAcentral.